This 497-nucleotide ribosomal RNA is filed under the name uncultured bacterium. RNAcentral's name for it is "partial 16S ribosomal RNA". It matches the Rfam family "Bacterial small subunit ribosomal RNA", at positions 28 to 507 of the family's 1533-position model. The record is from RNAcentral.
GAUGAACGCUGGCGGCGUGCCUAAUACAUGCAAGUCGAGCGAACGGACGAGAAGCUUGCUUCUCUGAUGUUAGCGGCGGACGGGUGAGUAACACGUGGAUAACCUACCUAUAAGACUGGGAUAACUUCGGGAAACCGGAGCUAAUACCGGAUAAUAUUUUGAACCGCAUGGUUCAAAAGUGAAAGACGGUCUUGCUGUCACUUAUAGAUGGAUCCGCGCUGCAUUAGCUAGUUGGUAAGGUAACGGCUUACCAAGGCAACGAUGCAUAGCCGACCUGAGAUGGUGAUCGGCCACACUGGAACUGAGACACGGUCCAGACUCCUACGGGAGGCGGCAGUAGGGAAUCUUCCGCAAUGGGCGAAAGCCUGACGGAGCAACGCCGCGUGAGUGAUGAAGGUCUUCGGAUCGUAAAACUCUGUUAUUAGGGAAGAACAUAUGUGUAAGUAACUGUGCACAUCUUGACGGUACCUAAUCAGAAAGCCACGGCUAACUACGUG